RNAcentral lists this ribosomal RNA (254 nucleotides) under uncultured bacterium. Its description in RNAcentral is "partial 16S ribosomal RNA". It matches the Rfam family "Bacterial small subunit ribosomal RNA", at positions 524 to 776 of the family's 1533-position model. The record is from RNAcentral.
UACGUAGGGUCCGAGCGUUGUCCGGAAUUAUUGGGCGUAAAGGGCUCGUAGGCGGUCUGUUGCGUCGGGAGUGAAAACUUACAGCUUAACUGUGAGCGUGCUUUCGAUACGGGCAGACUUGAGGCAUUCAGGGGAGAACGGAAUUCCUGGUGUAGCGGUGAAAUGCGCAGAUAUCUGGAGGAACACCGGUGGCGAAGGCGGCAUCCUGGACCAACACUGACGCUGAGUGAGCGAAAGCCAGGGGAGCAAACGGG